RNAcentral lists this ribosomal RNA (326 nucleotides) under uncultured eukaryote. RNAcentral describes it as "partial 18S ribosomal RNA". It matches the Rfam family "Eukaryotic small subunit ribosomal RNA", at positions 1470 to 1796 of the family's 1831-position model. The record is from RNAcentral.
CCCUUAGAUGUUCUGGGCUGCACGCGCGCUACACUGAUGCAUUCAACGAGUGUUUAUCCUUGCCCGAUAGGGUUGGGUAAUCUUGUUAACGUGCAUCGUGAUGGGGAUAGACUCUUGCAAUUAUUAGUCUUGAACGAGGAAUUCCUAGUAAAUGCGAGUCAUCAGCUCGUAUUGAUUACGUCCCUGCCCUUUGUACACACCGCCCGUCGCUCCUACCGAUUGAGUGCUCCGGUGAAUAAUUCGGACUACCGCAGUCGGGAGCUCUUCUUGAUCGCGGUGGAAAGUUUAGUGAACCUUAUCACUUAGAGGAAGGAGAAGUCGUAACA